CCGCUGCAGCAGCGCAGGUACGAAACUUGGAAAGACACAGAGAAGGUCUAUUUCUUGUAUCUUCAAUACUAGCACAGCCUCUGCCCAAGGCUGACACGCACAUUCGUACUAAGGUCCCUAGUUUA
Molecule: small nuclear RNA, 125 nt
Filed under: Catagonus wagneri (Chacoan peccary)
Lineage: Eukaryota; Metazoa; Chordata; Mammalia; Artiodactyla; Tayassuidae
Source: RNAcentral